RNAcentral lists this ribosomal RNA (554 nucleotides) under uncultured bacterium. RNAcentral describes it as "partial 16S ribosomal RNA". It matches the Rfam family "Bacterial small subunit ribosomal RNA", at positions 355 to 900 of the family's 1533-position model. The record is from RNAcentral.
UAGGGAAUCUUCCACAAUGGACGCAAGUCUGAUGGAGCAACGCCGCGUGAGUGAAGAAGGUCUUCGGAUCGUAAAGCUCUGUUGUUGGUGAAGAAGGAUAGAGGCAGUAACUGGUCUUUAUUUGACGGUAAUCAACCAGAAAGUCACAGCUAACUACGUGCCAGCAGCCGCGGUAAUACGUAGGUGGCAAGCGUUGUCCGGAUUUAUUGGGCGUAAAGCGAGCGCAGGCGGAAUGAUAAGUCUGAUGUGAAAGCCCACGGCUCAACCGUGGAACUGCAUCGGAAACUGUCAUUCUUGAGUGCAGAAGAGGAGAGUGGAACUCCAUGUGUAGCGGUGGAAUGCGUAGAUAUAUGGAAGAACACCAGUGGCGAAGGCGGCUCUCUGGUCUGCAACUGACGCUGAGGCUCGAAAGCAUGGGUAGCGAACAGGAUUAGAUACCCUGGUAGUCCAUGCCGUAAACGAUGAGCGCUAGGUGUUGGGGACUUUCCGGUCCUCAGUGCCGCAGCAAACGCAUUAAGCGCUCCGCCUGGGGAGUACGACCGCAAGGUUGAAAC